CAUACCUGAAUGUUCCUGAUCUCAUCUGAUCUCCCAAGUUAAGCAGGGUCAGGCUUGGUUAGUAACUGGAUGGGAGAUUAAUCAUCACAUCAGU
Molecule: ribosomal RNA, 94 nt
Filed under: Gorilla gorilla gorilla (western lowland gorilla)
Lineage: Eukaryota; Metazoa; Chordata; Mammalia; Primates; Hominidae
Source: RNAcentral